GUGCUUAUUUCACUGUCUAACCCUGCCCAGGCCCCGGGGAGAAGCCUGGUAUUCUUCGUGUUUAUUUAAUUGUCAACUCUCUGUGUUCUAAGACGAUACCCUGGCCUUGACUCAGUACAACCUAGGACUGUAAGUCCCAUCAUGUCUAUGGACUUCAGUUUCCAGACAUGAAACACAAGAGGCUUGGACGAGAUUAGAAAUCAAGAACUCGAAUGCGUAUGGUCAGAGCCACGAGAGUUUCCAUAAAGGAACACAACCAUGUGGACAACUUGAUUAUGCCCUACAAAACUGAAUUCCUGUGAGCAUUCCUCUUCAAGAUGGAAGAAAAAGGGAAUAUUUCACAACCCCAAUGGUGAAACGUCUGCCUAUAGCCAACAAUACAAUCUUCUUGCUCUGUCACCCAGGCUGAAAUGCAGUGGCGCCAUCUCGUCUCACUCGGCUCACUACAACCUCCGCCU
RNAcentral lists this long non-coding RNA (458 nucleotides) under Homo sapiens (human). RNAcentral describes it as "non-protein coding lnc-IMMP2L-1:11". Lineage: Eukaryota; Metazoa; Chordata; Mammalia; Primates; Hominidae. The record is from RNAcentral.